RNAcentral lists this ribosomal RNA (374 nucleotides) under uncultured bacterium. RNAcentral describes it as "bacterial SSU rRNA". It matches the Rfam family "Bacterial small subunit ribosomal RNA", at positions 524 to 898 of the family's 1533-position model. The record is from RNAcentral.
UACAGAGGGGGCGAGCGUUGUUCGGAAUUACUGGGCGUAAAGGGUGCGUAGGCGGUUUUCCAAGUCAGAUGUGAAAUCCCUGGGCUUAACCCAGGACGUGCAUUUGAGACUGGGAGGCUUGAGUAUGGGAGAGGAUGGUGGAAUACCCAGUGUAGAGGUGAAAUUCGUAGAGAUUGGGUAGAACACCGAUGGCGAAGGCAGCCAUCUGGCCCAUUACUGACGCUGAGGCACGAAAGCGUGGGGAGCAAACAGGAUUAGAUACCCUGGUAGUCCACGCCGUAAACGAUGUGCGCUAGCCGUCGGGGUGCAUGCACUUCGGUGGCGGAGCUAACGCAAUAAGCGCACCGCCUGGGGAGUACGGCCGCAAGGUUGAA